AGUAUAAGUAGUCGGAUAAAAACGCCACGUCCUGUGGCAAAUCCGACAUUAGGCCGUCAUGGCCG
Molecule: small RNA, 65 nt
Filed under: Sporolactobacillus laevolacticus DSM 442
Lineage: Bacteria; Bacillati; Bacillota; Bacilli; Caryophanales; Sporolactobacillaceae
Description: Bacillaceae-1 RNA
Rfam family: Bacillaceae-1 RNA
Source: Rfam by way of RNAcentral